UGUCCCCCUCUCGCCGUCCCCCCCCCUCCUCGCUCCACUCCCGGGGGCUGCCGCCGCCCGGAGCCCCGAGGCUCCCCUCGGGCGGUCCCGCGGCCACGGGGGGCGGGCGGCGCCGCUCCGCCCCGGCCCGCCCCGCCGCCCCCCCGCCGCGUCUCGACAGCAUCGCUAAAGAUAAGGGCUGCGCGGAGCCGAGCCGAGCGGAGAGGGGACGCCGCCGCGGGCCAUGGGGCAGAGACGGCGGAGCCCCGGGGCGGCAGAGCGGGGCUGUGCCGCCGAGGGGGCGGCGGGCGGCGGUGGCAGUGGCAGUGGCAGUAGUGGCAGCGGUCGCGGCAGCGGUCGCGGACGGCUGGCGGAGUCCUGGCGGCGGCUGAGCUCACGGCGAGGCUCCGCCAAACGCAGCGGAAACUCCGCGCCCGCGCCGCCGAGGAGAGAAAGCAAGGUAGCUGCUUCACUGCUGUUGACUGGGUAGGAUGUUGCACAUGCCUUACCACCUUCCACUUCAGGAAGAUGCCAAGAUUGAGGACUUGCUGAAGUUAAACCAGACAUUUUUCCAGGUUCUAUGGUUUCACACUUUCUAUGUGGAAUAAAAUCUAAAACUUGGCUUCCUCAUAUGUCACCUCAGCUAUCCUAGUAACAAUCACAGCUACAAGCUGCAGUUUGUAAGAUUGUAUGCAGUUAUUUUCCCUGUUUCUUUCCAAUGUUUCCCUAUGCUUCUCACACUCAUAAAUUUCCUCAUUAGUGCUCAGGCCUUCAUUUUGAAUCAAGAGCAAAGUAAUAAUUUGGCUGCUGUGUAGGAACACCAACAAAACUUCUCCAUGAGGAUUGUUAAACUAAGCAGUGUUUAAAAAAAAAAAAAAAAAAUGACUGCUGUCAGAGGUUAUUCUGAGGGCAAAUUUAUCACUGCAUUGUUACCUUAUCAUCUGUGGAAGAUAGGUGAACAGAAUUAUCUCAGAAAAAUAUCCAACCAAAGCUAUUUGUUAAAAAAAAAAAAAAAAAAAUGACUGCUGUCAGAGGUUAUUCUGAGGGCAAAUUUAUCACUGCAUUGUUACCUUAUCAUCUGUGGAAGAUAGGUGAACAGAAUUAUCUCAGAAAAAUAUCCAACCAAAGCUAUUUGUUUACACCUUUUCUUGAUUUACUUUUUGUAUCCUUUCCUUACCACUUUGCUUCUUUUGCAUCUUUUGCAUCUUUUCCUUAGGACUUUUUUUCCUCUAUGUGUGAUUCUGUGAUUUCGUAGUUUUACCAAAAUGGUAAAUAGAACUGAAUGGAUUUAAUGGAAGGAAUGGGUUAAGCACAUGAAGAGAUAAUCCUAACGUUUUCUCAGCUCUAUUACAUUCUUAUUUCAAAAUUUAUUAUACUUACUAAAAUCUUAUUUAUUCAAUGAGCUUUUAAAAUUUUGCUUUACUAUUUUAAUUGUGAUGCAUAUGCAUACAGCUUGUUAGACAUAUCAAGCUAUAGAACUUGGAGUAAAGAUGGACUUUUAAAGGUUAAGGCAAUGGUUGUGUUUCCUAAGCUUCCUUUCUGUAGCUGCUUGCAGUCAUAAAACUUAGUCAAUAUAAAAUGCUAUAUAAAUUAAGCACUGUUGCAUGCUGAGCUCUAAUAUUUUUGAUGGAAAGUAAAUCUGUGGCCUGACAUUUUGUGCAAGAGUAGUGUGUGUUACUAAAUUGUGUAUAAACAUUAGUAGGUUAGCACUGUUCUCUAGAGCAGAAGGUCCCUACUGAGGGCUUGUUGCAAGGAAAGAGCUCAUCAGAGCAUUAUUUAGUUUAAUUUAACCAUCUGUGUUACCUUGGCAUUGCAAGUAAUAUUUAUCUGACUUUACAGCUGAUUUCAGGAAGCUCAGCUGCCAAGAUACAAAGUUUAAAGUAAUCAGAUAAUAGGAAGGCAAAAUAUUCCUCUGGAUAAAGAAUAAAGAGCAAAGACUUUCAAUACUAUCACUAAAUAAAAUCAGUGUUUCAGCACUGGAAAACGUCAAAAGCAAUUGAAGUGUCGCUUUUUAAAGAUGAUCCAGUUACUCCUACUACCCUAUCCCACGAUCCUUUGAAAAUAACCUCUGAAAACUAGUUGCACAUGUGUAAUUUAAAAAUGCUAAACCAAACAAAAAACAAAACAAACAAACAAACAAAAAAAUCCAUAGCUAAAGGCUAAAGCUGUAGUGUAAAAGUAUAGACUAGGUCAUUUUGUGUGGGUUGUUUCUCCAAGCAGCUAAGUGUUCUACUUAUAACCAUGUUGUGGUAAUAUUGUAGCUAUUUUGAAGAAUUAUUAAAUACCAACUUUUGCUUUCUAUAAUAAGAAAGGAUGCUUUAUUCAUGUAAAAGAAUGGGCAAAAAUUCAAAAUGAGAUUUAAAAUGCUGGCAUCCUUCCAGGAGGAGACAAGAAUCUUGACAUGGAGCAGAUGUCUUUAUUAAUUAGUUCCUACAAAAUUGUAGACUCCAUUGUUUGGUGUUGUUUUUAAACCUUCUGCAGUUUGACAGUAGUGAUGAUUUGUCAUACGUCUUAUUGAUUUGUGGGUUUCACUCUUUCUAGGGUCCAAAAAGUCCCAUAAAGGGAUAUCAAUAAUGUAUAUAUGUAUCCACUCAUUCUGAGGAAAAAAAUAUUUUAGCAAUAUAUUUGUGGUCUGCAUAGAUGCUAUGAGUUACAUAACCACAUCAAAAAUAAGAGGAAAAGGUUUAGCGAUUUGGAUUUUCCUGCUAUGUGCAUUCGUCAUUUUUGUUUCCAUAGGUGGAAAAGGACAUGCCAGGAUCCUUGUGACCAUUAGACUUCCAC
Long non-coding RNA from Cairina moschata (Muscovy duck), 2760 nucleotides. The record is from Ensembl. Lineage: Eukaryota; Metazoa; Chordata; Aves; Anseriformes; Anatidae.